CUGAGGACAGAGCACAGCCUUGGGGACACUCUGGGGACAAAGCGGACAAGUCACACCCCACCAUCAUCACCCAGGUCCAUCUGCAGCAACCAAAUAGGUUCUCUCAUCCCGCUGCUCUCCUCCCAGUCUGUCCAGCUCCGAGUGGUCAGACACCCAGCACAGUGUCAUGGUCGGAUGUAAUGGGGCUAUUAGACUGGUUUGGGUUGGAAGGGACCUUGAAGAUCAUCUAGAUCCAACCCCCUGCAUGGGCAGGGACACCUCCCACCAGCCCAGGUUGCUCCAAGCCCCAUCCAACCUGCCCUUCAACACUGCCAGGGAUGGGGCAGCCACAGCUUCCCUGGGCAACCUGGGCCA
Long non-coding RNA from Apus apus (common swift), 354 nucleotides. RefSeq lists it as uncharacterized. The record is from RefSeq and is a predicted model, not a curated record. Lineage: Eukaryota; Metazoa; Chordata; Aves; Apodiformes; Apodidae. The transcript is spliced from 3 exons.